AGAGUUUGAUCCUGGCUCAGAACGAACGCUGGCGGCAUGCCUAACACAUGCAAGUCGAACGAAGCCUUCGGGCUUAGUGGCGCACGGGUGCGUAACGCGUGGGAAUCUGCCUUGGGUUCGGAAUAACAGUUAGAAAUGACUGCUAAUACCGGAUAAUGUCUUCGGACCAAAGAUUUAUCGCCCAGGGAUGAGCCCGCGUAGGAUUAGCUAGUUGGUGAGGUAAAGGCUCACCAAGGCGACGAUCCUUAGCUGGUCUGAGAGGAUGAUCAGCCACACUGGGACUGAGACACGGCCCAGACUCCUACGGGAGACAGCAGUGGGGAAUAUUGGACAAUGGGCGAAAGCCUGAUCCAGCAAUGCCGCGUGAGUGAUGAAGGCCUUAGGGUUGUAAAGCUCUUUUACCCGGGAUGAUAAUGACAGUACCGGGAGAAUAAGCCCCGGCUAACUCCGUG
RNAcentral lists this ribosomal RNA (452 nucleotides) under uncultured bacterium. Its description in RNAcentral is "bacterial SSU rRNA". It matches the Rfam family "Bacterial small subunit ribosomal RNA", at positions 8 to 507 of the family's 1533-position model. The record is from RNAcentral.